UUUCCCUGAACAUCAAAUUGGAGAAGACAAACUCCAGGAAAGGCACAUCAAGGGCUUUUGUCCCUCGAUUUCCUAAGGUAAAAGAUGAAGCAUGGUGGUUAGUUCUUGGCAACUCAUCCACCUCUGAACUAUAUGCUCUGAAGAGAGUUUCUUUCUCUGAUCACUUGGUUACUCGCAUGGAUAUACCAUCAUCCUUGACCACUUUACAGGGGACAAAAUUGAUGUUAAUUUCUGAUUGUUACCUUGGUUUUGAACAAGAACAUUGCAUUGAAGAACUAGUCAAGUCUCAAGAAAUGGGAACAGCCGUUUGAAUUGAAGAUAUUUUGGG
This 328-nucleotide unclassified non-coding RNA is filed under the name Hevea brasiliensis (rubber tree). Lineage: Eukaryota; Viridiplantae; Streptophyta; Magnoliopsida; Malpighiales; Euphorbiaceae. The record is from RNAcentral.